CAGUAGCGUAUAUUAAAGUUGUUGCAGUUAAAAGCUCGUAGUUGGAUUUCUGGCUUUCUGCGCCUGGCCCGCCCACGUUAGUGGUGUGAGUGUCGGUGCGCGGUUGCCAUCCUUCUAGAGAACGUGUCUACCUUUAAUUAGGCCGGAUUCGGGAUCUAGAUCAUUUACUUUGAAAAAUUAGAGUGUUUAAAGCAGGCUUUUUGCUAUGAAUACAUUAGCAUGGAAUAAUAAUAUAGGACUUUGGUUCUAUUUUGUUUGGUUUCUUAGGACUGAAGUAAUGAUUGAUAGGGAUAGUUGGGGGUGGCUAGUAUUCAGCGGCCAGAGGUGAAAUUACUUGGAUUCGCUGAAGACUAACUUAUGCGAAAGACAUUCACCAAGGAUGUCUUCUUUAAUUCAAGAACGAAAGUUAGGGGGUAGUCGAAGAUGAUCAGAUACCA
This 437-nucleotide ribosomal RNA is filed under the name uncultured eukaryote. Its description in RNAcentral is "bacterial SSU rRNA". It matches the Rfam family "Eukaryotic small subunit ribosomal RNA", at positions 592 to 1017 of the family's 1831-position model. The record is from RNAcentral.